This is an RNA transcript of Homo sapiens (human), 6102 nucleotides long. It is a transcript of the gene named myosin heavy chain 16, with no coding region annotated. The transcript is spliced from 41 exons. The record is from RefSeq and is marked reviewed. Lineage: Eukaryota; Metazoa; Chordata; Mammalia; Primates; Hominidae.
AUGCCUGGUGGGUACAAAGGGGAGUGUGGGGACGAUGUGGACCCUAUGCCUUUCCUGGCACCUCCUGAAAAGGAGAGGAUUGAAGCCAUGAACAAGCCCUAUGACAUUAAGAGGUCCUGCUGGGUCAAAGAUGAGAAGGAAGGCUUCGUCGCUGGGGAGAUCCAGUCUGAACAGGGUGACCAAGUCACCGUGAAGACGAUCACCAACCAGACACUCACUGUGAAGAAGGAUGAUAUCCAGCAGAUGAACCCACCCAAAUUCUACCAGGCCAGUGACAUGGCAGACAUGACCUUCCUGAAUGAGGCCAGUGUCCUAGACAAUCUGCGCCAACGCUACACCAACAUGAGGAUCUAUACCUACUCGGGCUUGUUCUGCGUGACGGUCAACCCCUACAAGUGGCUGCCCAUCUACGGGGCCCGUGUGGCUAACAUGUACAAGGGCAAGAAGCGCACAGAGAUGCCGCCUCACCUCUUCUCCAUCUCUGACAACGCCUACCACGACAUGCUUAUGGAUCGUGAGAAUCAGUCUAUGCUAAUCACCGGAGAAUCUGGUGCUGGUAAGACUGAGAACACGAAGAAGGUCAUCCAGUACUUUGCCAACAUUGGAGGAACUGGCAAACAGACCACAGAUAAGAAGGGGUCUCUGGAGGAUCAAGUCAUCCAGGCAAACCCUGUGCUGGAGGCCUUUGGGAACGCCAAGACCACCAGGAACAACAACUCCUCUCGCUUCAUCUCUUAGAGAAAUCUCGUGUCAUCUCACAGCAAGCAGCCGAGAGAAGCUACCACAUCUUCUACCAGAUUCUCUCAAACAAGAAGCCUGAACUUGUUGAGAGUUUGCUGCUGGUCCCCAACCCUAAGGAAUACCACUGGGUGAGCCAAGGCGUCACCACUGUGGACAACAUGGAUGACAAGGAGGAGCUGCAGAUCACAGAUGAAGCCUUUGACGUACUGGGCUUCAGCGCCGAGGAGAAGAUGGCCGUGUAUAAGCUGACGGGAGGUAUCAUGCACUUUGGGAACAUGAAGUUCAAGCAGAAGCCCAGAGACGAGCAAGCUGAAGUGGACACCACUGAGGUGGCUGACAAAGUCGCCCAUCUCAUGGGUCUCAACUCUGGUGAACUGCAGAAAGGCAUUACCAGGCCCCGAGUCAAAGUUGGCAAUGAGUUUGUGCAAAAAGGCCAGAACAUGGAACAGUGCCAAAACUCCAUUGGGGCUCUGGGCAAGGCUGUCUAUGACAAGAUGUUCAAGUGGUUGGUGGCCAGGAUUAACAAGACCUUGGACACCAAGAUGCAGAGGCAGUUCUUCAUUGGAGUGCUGGACAUCGCUGGCUUUGAGAUCUUUGAGUUCAACAGCUUUGAGCAGCUAUGCAUCAACUUCACCAACGAGAAGCUGCAGCAGUUCUUCAACCACCACAUGUUCGUGCUGGAGCAGGAGGAGUACAAGAGGGAAGGCAUCGAGUGGGUCUUCAUCGACUUUGGCCUCGACCUUCAGGCCUGCAUCGACCUGCUGGAAAAGCCCAUGGGCAUCUUCUCCAUCUUGGAGGAACAGUGCGUCUUCCCCAAAGCCACCGAUGCCACGUUCAAGGCAGCCCUGUACGACAACCACCUGGGCAAGUCCAGCAACUUCCUGAAGCCCAAGGGGGGCAAGAGCAAGGGGCCCGAGGUCCACUUCGAGCUGGUUCACUACGCAGGCACCGUGGGAUAUAACAUCACAGGCUGGCUGGAGAAGAACAAAGACCCCCUGAAUGAAACAGUGGUGGGCUUGUUCCAGAAAUCGAGUGUGGCAAUCCUGGCCCUUCUCUUCAAAGAAGAGGAGGCUCCAGCCGGAAGCAAGAAGCAGAAGAGAGGCUCCUCCUUCAUGACAGUCUCCAAUUUCUACAGGGAGCAGCUGAACAAGCUGAUGACCACCCUCCAUAGCCGCACCCCAUUUUGUCCGCUGUAUUAUCCCCAAUGAGUUUAAGCAAUCGGGUGUGAUAGACGCCCACCUGAUCAUGCACCAGCUAGCUUGCAAUGGUGUCCUGGAAGGCAUCCGUAUCUGCAGGAAGGGCUUCCCAAACAGGCUGCAGUACCCGGAGUUCAAACAGAGGUACCAAGUGCUGAACCCCAACGUGAUUCCCCAGGGGUUCGUGGACAACAAAAAGGCCUCAGAGCUGCUGCUUGCAGCCAUUGACCUAGAUGUGAAUGAAUACAAAAUUGGACACACCAAGGUGUUCUUCCGUGCGGGCAUCCUGGCCAGGCUUGAGGACAUGAGGGACGAGCGUCUGGCCAAGAUCAUGACGAUGCUGCAGUGUCGGCUUCGGGGCUUCCUCAUGAGGGUGGAGUUCAAGAAGAUGCUGGAACGAAGAAUGGGCCUGAAAGUCAUUCAGCAGAACGUGCACAAGUUCCUGCAGCUCCGUUUCUGGGGCUGGUGGAAGCUGUACAACAAGGUCAAGCCACUCCUGAAUGUGGCUCGGCAAGAAGAGGAGAUGAAGGCCAAGGAGGAGGAGCUCAGGAAAGCCAUGGCCCAAACCCAGGAGUUGGUAAACAAGGUCAAGGAACUGGAGGAGAAGACAGCCACGCUCAGCCAGGAGAAGAAUGACCUCACCAUCCAGCUGCAGGCUGAGCAAGAGAACCUGAUGGAUGCAGAGGAGCGCCUGACAUGGAUGAUGAAGACCAAGAUGGAUCUAGAGAGCCAGAUCUCAGACAUGCGGGAGCGGCUGGAGGAGGAAGAGGGCAUGGCGGCCUCACUGAGUGCCGCCAAGCGCAAGUUGGAAGGGGAGCUGAGCGACCUGAAGCGGGACCUAGAGGGCCUGGAAACCACGCUGGCCAAGACAGAGAAGGAGAAGCAGGCCCUGGAUCACAAGGUCCGUACCCUGACGGGGGACCUCUCACUCCGUGAAGACUCCAUCACCAAGCUCCAGAAGGAGAAGAGGGCCCUAGAGGAGCUGCACCAGAAAACCCUGGACGACCUACAGGCUGAGGAGGACAAGGUGAACCACCUGACCAAAAAUAACAGCAAGCUGAGCACGCAGAUCCAUGAGCUGGAGGAUAACUGGGAGCAGGAAAAGAAAAUCCGGGCGGAGGUGGAAAAGGCUCGUCGGAAAGCUGAGAGUGACCUGAAGAUGACCAUCGACAACCUCAAUGAGAUGGAGCGUUCCAAGCUGGAUCUCGAGGAGGUGGUGAAAAAGAGGGAUUUGGAAAUAAACUCUGUCAACUCGAAAUAUGAGGAUGAGCAGUCUCUGAAUUCCACGCUGCAGCGGAAACUGAAGGAGCACCAGGACCGAAUUGAAGAGCUGGAAGAAGAACUAGAAGCUGAGAGGGCCAUGAGAGCCAAGAUCGAGCAGAACCGCAAGCGGGAGGCUGAGCUGCUGAAGCUGCGGCGGGAGCUGGAAGAGGCCGCCCUGCAGAGCGAGGCGACGGCCUCCACACUGCGCAAGAAGCACGUGGACUCCAUGGCCGAGCUGACGGAGCAUGUGGAGAGCCUGCAGAGGGUCAAGUCCAAGCUAGAGAAAGAUAAACAGGUCAUGAAGGCUGAGAUUGAUGACCUCAAUGCCAGCAUGGAGACGAUACAGAAGUCCAAGAUGAACGCCGAGGCCCACGUCAGAAAGCUGGAAGACAGCUUAUCAGAAGCCAACGCCAAGGUGGCAGAGCUAGAGCGAAACCAAGCAGAAAUCAAUGCCAUCAGGACCCGCCUCCAAGCUGAAAAUAGUGAACUGAGCAGGGAAUAUGAAGAGUCCCAGAGCCGGCUCAAUCAAAUCCUACGGAUAAAGACAUCUCUGACGUCACAAGUGGAUGAUUACAAGAGGCAGCUGGAUGAAGAGUCAAAGUCUCGCAGCACCGCCGUGGUGAGUCUGGCCAACACCAAGCACGACCUGGACCUAGUAAAGGAGCAGCUGGAGGAGGAGCAGGGAGGCAAGUCAGAGCUGCAGCGCCUCGUGUCCAAACUCAACACUGAGGUCACCACCUGGAGGACCAAGUACGAGACCGAUGCCAUCCAGAGGACAGAGGAGCUGGAGGAGACCAAGAGGAAGCUGGCCGCCAGGCUUCAGGAGGCAGAAGAAGCAGCUGAAACUGCCCAGGCCCGGGCCGCCUCCCUCGAGAAAAAUAAGCAGAGACUCCAGGCAGAAGUUGAGGACCUCACCAUCGACUUGGAGAAGGCCAAUGCUGCAGCUGCUGCCCUGGACAAGAAGCAGAGGCUCUUUGACAAGAUGCUGGCUGAGUGGCAGCAGAAGUGUGAGGAGUUGCAGGUGGAAGUGGACAGCUCGCAGAAGGAGUGCCGCAUGUACAUGACAGAGAGCUUCAAGAUCAAGACUGCCUACGAGGAGUCUCUGGAGCAUCUAGAGUCCGUGAAGAAGGAGAAUAAGACCCUGCAGGAGGAGAUAAAGGAUCUCAUUGAUCAGCUGGGUGAGGGAGGAAGGAGUGUGCAUGAACUGCAGAAGUUGAAGAAAAAAUUGGAGAUGGAAAAGGAAGAACUCCAGGUGGCCCUGGAAGAAGCUGAGUCUUCCCUGGAGGUUGAAGAGAGCAAGGUGAUUCGAAUUCAGUUGGAACUGGCUCAGGUUAAAGCUGACAUCGACCGAAGAAUCCAUGAGAAAGAAGAAGAAUUUGAGGCUACCAGGAAGAACCACCAGCGGGCAAUCGAGUCCUUGCAGGCCAGCCUAGAGGCAGAGGCCAAGGGCCGGGCAGAGGCACUUCGGCUCAAGAAGAAGAUGGAGACGGACCUGAAUGAGAUGGAAAUCCAGCUGGACCACGCCAACAAGAACAACAGCGAACUUGUAAAGACAUUGAAAAGGCUGCAACAGCAAAUCAAGGACCUGCAGGUCCAGAUGGACGAGGAUGCCAGGCAGCACGAGGAGCUGCGGAAGCAGUACAACCUGCAGGAGCGGCGCUUGAGCCUGCUGCAGACGGAGCUGGAGGAGGUGCGCUCAGCCCUGGAGGGCAGCGAGCGUUCACGCAAGCUGUUGGAGCAGGAAGUGGUGGAGAUCACCGAAUGGCACAACGAGAUCAACAUCCAGAACCAGAGCCUCCUCGUGGUCAAACGCAAGCUGGAGUCAGAUGUCCAGCGCAUCUCCAACGAGCAUGAGGAGCUCAUCAGUGAGUUCCGCUUGACCGAAGAGAGGGCCAAGAAGGCCAUGAUGGACGCUGCCCGCAUGGCAGAAGAACUCCGGCAAGAGCAGGACCACUGCAUGCACCUGGAGAAGAUCAAGAAGAACUACGAGGUCACCAUCAAAGACCUGCAAGCCAAGAUGGAGGAGGCCGAGCAGCUGGCUCUGAAAGGCGGCAAGCGAACGAUCAUGAAGCUGGAGGCCAGGAUCAAGGAACUAGAGACAGAGCUGGAUGGGGAACAGAAACAGCACGUGGAGACAGUCAAGACACUGUGUAAGAAUGAGCGUCGCCUCAAAGAGCUGGUCUUCCAGACAGAGGAGGACCACAAGACCAAUCAGCGCAUGCAGGCGCUGGUGGAGAAGCUUCAGAACAAGCUGAAGGUCUACAAGAGGCAGAUUGAGGAGGCGGAGGACCAGGCCAACCAGACCUUGGCUCGAUACAGGAAGACGGUGCAUGAGCUGGAUGACGCUGAGGACCGGGCUGGCAUGGCAGAGACUGCCCUAAACAAGCUGCGCACCAGACACCGCGUGGCCGGCAAGGGCAUCACCUCUGUGGAGAUCAUCCAGGUGUCCAAGACAGGCACCUCGAAAACCCUUUCUGAGGAGUGAGGCCCUCCGUGUCCUAGGCCACAACUGGGUAAUACAGAUCUCAACUGCAGUCCAUUCAGAGGGAGAAAAUAUGAAAAUGGAAAACUGGGUCUGUCCUGAGAAUGUUUACUAUGCAAAAGAAAGUGCAAGCCAGGAAGAGACAGGUGGUGAAGAAUAAAGAGCGCUAUGGUGGAAAAUGAGCUUGAGAAUGUAAAACCCGCCAUUAGAGGAAUGAAAAUGAGUGGGGCUUCUCUGGAACGGCAGUAAGCAUUUGGAUGACAGUAAUGAUGGAUCUGUUUCAGUUGAGUUCCUACAUGGUCAUGUCAAGGACGGAAUAUGUAAUGUCUGUGACCCGGCUGUUCUCUACAAAGAAUUCCUCAUGUUGACAAUGUUAAUGUCCCAAUAUAGCUUAAAUAAAAGAAACAUUAAAAAAAUAGA